ACUCAGGGAAGUGAAACAUCUCAGUACCUGAAGGAAAAGAAAACAAAAGUUAUUCUGCAAGUAGCGGCGAGCGAAAACAGAGAAGCCCAAACCACAGGUAGUAAUACCUGAUGGGGUAGUAAGAUAGAAACGUAGUUUACUAGAAGAGUUACAAAAGAUACAUAUAGAUAAAGUUGUUGGAAAGCAACGCCAAAGAAAGUGAUAGCCUUGUUAUCGAAAUGUGUAUCUCUCUUUUGUUUCUAAUCUUGAGUAAUUCGAGACACGAAUAGCUCGGAUGAAUCAACCGGAACUAACCGGUAAGGCUAAAUAUUGUUAGAGACCGAUAGUGAACUAGUACCGUGAGGGAAAGGUGAAAAGAACCCCGGAAGGGGAGUGAAAUAGAACUGAAACCGUAUGUUUACAAAGAGUAGAAGAGGUAUUUAUACCUCGACUGCGUGCCUAUUGAAGAAUGAGCCAACGAGUUGUAGGUUACUGCAGGCUAAGUGGUAUAAAGUCACGGAGCCAUAGCGAAAGCAAGUAUGAUAAGUGCGAACAAAUUGUAGUAGCUUACAGACCCGAAGCCGGAUGAGCUUACCAUGAGCAGGGUGAAGUACAUCGAAAGAUGUAUGGAGGCCCGAACCAGUAGGUUGUACGACUCCUUUGGAUGACUUGUGGUAAGGAGUGAAAAGCUAAUCGAAUUCGGUAAUAGCUGGUUCUCUCCGAAAUAGUUUUUGGACUAGCGUCGCGUGUUCCCUUUGGGGGUAGAGCACUGGAAGGUUUUGACUAGUAGAAAUACGGCAACACCUAUCAAACUCCGAAUACCAAAGGUUAAAAAUGCGGCAGUAAGACCACGGGGGCGAAGCUCCGUCGGUCAAAAGGGAAACAGCCCAGAUCUCAAGUUAAGGUCCCUAAGUAUAGAUUAAGUGUAAGCGAGGAGGUGGAGUUUCAUUGACAAUGAGGAUGUUGGCUUAGAAGCAGCCAUCAUUGAAAGAAAGCGUAACAGCUCACCCAUCGAGAGACUCUGCGCCACAAAUAAUCGGGACUAAAAUCUAUCACCGAAACUGAGGGCUUACUAUUUAUAGUGAGCGGUAGGAGAGUGUUCCACUCUGCGUUGAAGCUAAAGGGGUGACCCAUAGUGGAGCGUGUGGAAGUACGAAUGUUGGCACAAGUAACCGCAAGGAGGGUGAGAUCCCCUCCCGCCGAAAGAAUAAGGUUUCCUUUCCAAUGAUUGUCAGGGAAGGGUUAGUCGGGCCUAAGGAGAUGGCAAACGCCGGAUCCGAUGGACAUAAGGUUAAUAUUCCUUAACUCGGUACUAAUGUGAUGGGAUGACGGAGGGUAGUAUGUAAAGCGACUUAUUGGAUUGUCGUUUAUUGUGUAAGGAGGAGGUACAGGGAAAUCCGUACUUCUGGGUUAAACCCGAUUCCAAGCACCGUAUGAAGAUGAGAGGCAACUCGAUUCAACUUUACAAAGCACACUUCCGAGAAAAGUCUCUACAUCUUGUGAAUACAAGACUUCUACAUGUGCUCUGUGUAAACAGACUACAUGUAGAUGCUUAAGUUAGUAUUGAUCCGUACCGCAAACCGACACAGGUAUUCGAGUCGAGUAGACUAAGGCGAACGAGUGAUAUCUCCCUAAGGAACUAGGCAAAAAAGCGAUCGUAAGUUAGCGAUAAGAUCUGCCUCCAUCACUUUGUUUUUAAACAAAGUGAUUGCCUAGAGAAUUAGAUAAAAUAUUGAGACAAAUGAAGCACACAUAUUAGAGCUAGUAUGUGUGCAAAGAACGUAUUUAAGAAAUACAAAAAUAGUGUGACGGAAAUUAAUUCUCUAGAGCACCAUGACUUUGAAAAUAAAGUGAUGGAGGCCGCAGCGAAAGUUUCCCUAGCGACUGUUUACCAAAAACACAGCUUCCUGCGAACACGUAAGUGGAUGUAUAGGAGGUGACGCCUGACCAAUGCGGGAAGGUUAAAUAUCGGUGGUGCGCAAGCGCUGGAUGAUAUAAGCCCCCGUCAAUGUCGGCCGUAACUAUAACGGUCCUAAGGUACUGGUUGCCGCAAACGUAACCAGUAGGACUAGGACGGUUAUAUGUAGUUUUUGAGAAACAUUCUAAUCAUACGCCUACUAAAAGCUACCUCAUUUAUAGAAAUAUGAAUCGAGUCCGAAGUGGUUAGCGAGAGACCAACGCCACACACCUGAACAUUUAGUUGAAGGUGAAGAUAGAGUCCUUCUUGAGGAAUAGAAGAGCGAAAUUCCUUGUCUGGUAAGUUCAGACGUGCACGAAUGGCGUAACGACUGGGGAACUGUCUCAGGGAGUAGCUCGGUGAAAAUACAGUGGGGGUGAAGAUGCCCCCUAGCUGCAGAUAGACGAAAAGACCCCGUGAGCUUUACUCUAGCUUGAUAUUGCGAAUGUUUCAUUACUGCGUAGAAUAGUGGUGAGAGGUUUGAUGUGUAUGAUUUCGGUUGUACUCUACUCGACAGUGAAAUAGCCAUCUGUAAUGAGGCAUUCGCUAACGUAAACGGAAAAAACGUUUGCAGACAGUAUCUGGUGGGGAGUUUAACUGGGGCGGUUUCCUCCCAAAAGGUAACGGAGGAGUAUAUUAAGGUCAUCUAGGCGCGAAUGGAAACCGUGCCGAUAGCGUAAGGGCAUAAGAUGGCUUGACUGUAAGACGGGCAUGUCGAGCAGAUACGAAAGUAGAUCCUAGUGAACCUACUCUUGGCUUUAGACGCCGGAGCAGAUUAACGGAUAGAAGCUACCACGGGGAUAACAGGCUAGUUGUGCCUAAGAGUUCAUAUCGACGGCACAGUUCGGCACCUUAACUAAAUCGGGGUGCGUCAGAGGAGACUCUGUAGCAACACAUGUACAAUCGUCAAAUAAAUAAUAUGUACACAAGAAAUCUUGGCUUAUAACGGUGAAGCCCUUGUACAUGAACAAUACAAGGGUAAUACCGUGGGAAGUUUACGAGUAAGAAAGCGAUCACUGUAUCUUUUUUGAUACAAGCUGCAACAUUUUUAA
This 2988-nucleotide ribosomal RNA is filed under the name wastewater metagenome. RNAcentral's name for it is "bacterial LSU rRNA". It matches the Rfam family "Bacterial large subunit ribosomal RNA". The record is from RNAcentral.